AGUGAACGCUGGCGGUAGGCCUAACACAUGCAAGUCGAACGGCGGCACAGUAAGAGCUUGCUCUUACGGGUGGCGAGUGGCGGACGGGUGAGGAAUACAUCGGAAUCUACUUUUUCGUGGGGGAUAACGUAGGGAAGCUUACGCUAAUACCGCAUACGACCUACGGGUGAAAGCAGGGGAUCUUCGGCCCUUGCGCGAUUGAAUGAGCCGAUGUCGGCUUAGCUAGUUGGAGGGGUAAAGGCCCACCAAGGCGACGAUCCGUAGCUGGUCUGAGAGGAUGAUCAGCCACACUGGAACUGAGACACGGUCCAGACUCCUACGGGAGGCAGCAGUGGGGAAUAUUGGACAAUGGGCGAAAGCCUGAUCCAGCCAUACCGCGUGGGUGAAGAAGGCCUUCGGGUUGUAAAGCACUUUUGUUGGGAAAGAAAAGCAGCAGGUUAAUACCCCACUGUUCUGACGGUACCAAAAGAAUAAGCACCGGCUAACUUCGUG
Molecule: ribosomal RNA, 492 nt
Filed under: uncultured bacterium
Lineage: Bacteria
Description: partial 16S ribosomal RNA
Rfam family: Bacterial small subunit ribosomal RNA
Source: RNAcentral